UCUAAACAUUUUAGCUAAU
This 19-nucleotide small nuclear RNA is filed under the name Arabidopsis thaliana (thale cress). Its description in RNAcentral is "snRNA_19244". Lineage: Eukaryota; Viridiplantae; Streptophyta; Magnoliopsida; Brassicales; Brassicaceae. The record is from RNAcentral.